GUAAGCGGAUGGGCUCGGCCUCAAGGACAGGGUGCUCGGCUGAAAAAAAAGCUAGCGGCGAUCACCGGUGCCAGGGCUCUCCAGAAACGGAGCCCAUCUAACCAAUGCCCAGCACACUCGCUCUGCUCCACACACGAGACCACCUCCGACCCGCACUAAGUUGGCCAACUGCACUCUGGAGGCGGCGGCAGCCAGCGAGGGAGAAGGGAAAGGCUGUCCCGGGACCCCGAGGAGGACUGCCCCGCCCCCGGGAACCGGGUGCGGCGUAAAACAACCCCGGCUCCGGGCCGACCCUUCCUGGCCCCUUGGAGGCCCAGGCGGGGCGGCGGGGGGCGACGCGGCAGGGGUCUCCGCGCCCAGGCUCCCGCGGAGCGGCCACACGUGGAGGUUCCCACUUUGGGGUCGCGGCCGCAGCAGCACCGGGCGGGAUGCUGUCCGCGCUGCCCGCGUACGGCCGCGGCCUGAGUGGAGACGCCUGCCCCCAGCCCCGAGGCCUCGGCCCCCGUCCGCCCUCUCUCCCUGCUCGGCGGCCUCGUACUCACGCUGACUUCAUGGCAGCAGGCUCCACGCCGCCCAAACGCGCAUGCGGGACGGCUGGCUGGCGAAGACUGCGGGACGUUAGGACCGGCAGCAAGAACUAGAACUUCGCGGCUAAGGCGCGGUGCUCUGCGAAGCCGGCGGCGACGCUAAGAGCCCAGGUGAGCUCCCGCCUGGCGCAUUUCAAACGGGCCAAUCAGCGCCCGUCCGCAGGGAGAGGCAGGACCUCCGCGGAAGUGACUUCGCUGCCGGAAGUGGCGCUUGUCUCCUAGGCGACCGACGCUGAAAGGGCCGCGGAGUCGCGUGUCAGGGCUGGAGGGAGAUCUUGAGAUCACUUCAAACUUAAGUGAGCUCAGGUUCAUCUGGAGGAUGACUCGGCCUCUGUUCUCUCGUCCCACCUGACGAGAAAUACCCACAGGUGUGGAGGGGCUGGCCCCCUUCACCUGGGUCUCGACUCCUGUUUUGUUCUGCGGUUCCCAUUGCAGUGCUGUGACCCCCCAGAAGCUCAGGAAAACAACUGACUUCCUGGUGUUGCCAACAGGCAGAGAGGAGAUGCAGCCAGUCCUUACCCUGUAGAAGAUGGGGAGGGAGUCCCAGGUGUACGGAUAAGCAAAGGCGAGGACACGAAUCACCUUACAGAGUCUGGGCUUCUGGAUUUCAAGAAACCUAAAUCAGGGAAGGAAAGUGGGGAGGAAAUGGAAUGAAAAGAGUCUCAGCAAAUUGCAUACGCACAUGCAUGCACACCGAGGGCCUGGUCAUCAACAGAGGACAAGCAUUUUUCUACAAGCUCCUGUGGCCAGCAGCUUCUCCACCAGCCUCGUCCAUUCCUCCCACCCCAAUGGAAGUGACAAAACUUCAGAUGCAAAAAGAUCUCCAGGGACACCAUCUCCUGACCAUGGGAAGCAGUGGUGUCCAGACUAAGCCAGAAAGGAGGCGCUGGGCAGAAACCCUUCAAGGGCCAAGUUAUGUAACUGCCAAAGAACCUUUUAAAACUCUAGUUGCUACAGGGACAGGGAACGGGUAGGGGGAAUCGGGGGAUCCACUGCCACAGACUCUUGGGGGGCACACUCUGCAGAGGCUGAGAUGCACCCAUCUAGUUGGAGCCCAGGUAUUAUCAUGCAGGAGACCUGGGUUCAAGUAGGUGUUUGACCCUUGGAGAGCUUUCUGGAAUAUUUAUACCACACACAGGGAUACUUGGCUUGGGAAAACUAAAUAAACGUGAAGUCUUUCCUUCUCUUCU
This 1777-nucleotide long non-coding RNA is filed under the name Homo sapiens (human). Its description in RNAcentral is "HSALNT0381982". The record is from RNAcentral. Lineage: Eukaryota; Metazoa; Chordata; Mammalia; Primates; Hominidae.